This 425-nucleotide ribosomal RNA is filed under the name uncultured bacterium. RNAcentral's name for it is "partial 16S ribosomal RNA". It matches the Rfam family "Bacterial small subunit ribosomal RNA", at positions 354 to 796 of the family's 1533-position model. The record is from RNAcentral.
GUGGGGAAUCUUGCGCAAUGGGCGAAAGCCUGACGCAGCCAUGCCGCGUGAAUGAUGAAGGUCUUAGGAUUGUAAAAUUCUUUCACCGGGGACGAUAAUGACGGUACCCGGAGAAGAAGCCCCGGCUAACUUCGUGCCAGCAGCCGCGGUAAUACGAAGGGGGCUAGCGUUGCUCGGAAUUACUGGGCGUAAAGGGCGCGUAGGCGGACAGCGUAGUCAGAUGUGAAAGCCCAGGGCUCAACCUUGGAAUUGCCUUUGAUACUGGCUGUCUUGAGUUUGGGAGAGGUGAGUGGAACUCCGAGUGUAGAGGUGAAAUUCGUAGAUAUUCGGAAGAACACCAGUGGCGAAGGCGACUCACUGGCCCAAUACUGACGCUGAGGCGCGAAAGCGUGGGGAGCAAACAGGAUUAGAUACCCUGGUAGUCC